AGAGUUUGAUCAUGGCUCAGGACGAACGCUGGCGGCGUGCCUAAUACAUGCAAGUCGAGCGGAUGGAUUCAGAGCUUGCUCUGAUGAUGUCAGCGGCGGACGGGUGAGUAACACGUGGGUAACCUGCCUGGCAGAUCGGGAUAACGCCUGGAAACGGGUGCUAAUGCCAGAUAAUAAACUUUGGGGCAUCCCAUAGUUUU
RNAcentral lists this ribosomal RNA (200 nucleotides) under uncultured bacterium. RNAcentral describes it as "partial 16S ribosomal RNA". It matches the Rfam family "Bacterial small subunit ribosomal RNA", at positions 8 to 202 of the family's 1533-position model. The record is from RNAcentral.